Molecule: long non-coding RNA, 285 nt
Filed under: Capsella rubella
Lineage: Eukaryota; Viridiplantae; Streptophyta; Magnoliopsida; Brassicales; Brassicaceae
Description: long non-coding RNA (CRUB_LNC003802)
Source: RNAcentral
AGCUAUGAAGAGUCUGGCUUCAAAGAUAACACUCUUCGACGACCCAUUGCUAUUUAUGUAUAUGCAUCAAAGACAGCUAAUAUUAAUUACUUGAAACACAAAACUCCAACGUAACGUUACUAUUCUUUUUUUUUUCUUUUCUCUUUGGCCUACAUUAGAAAUCCAUCUUUACAUAAUUAAAUAACGAACCAACGUAUUGUCUCCAUGCAUAUGUUAAAACAAGGAACAGCCAAAUUAACAUGAGUGGCACCCAUGUGUCGGUUUUAAUGGAUUGGUCGGUUCAUU